This 439-nucleotide ribosomal RNA is filed under the name uncultured bacterium. RNAcentral's name for it is "partial 16S ribosomal RNA". It matches the Rfam family "Bacterial small subunit ribosomal RNA", at positions 339 to 795 of the family's 1533-position model. The record is from RNAcentral.
CUACGGGUCGCUGCAGUGGGGAAUUUUGCGCAGUGGGGGAAACCCUGACGCAGCAAUACCGCGUGAGUGAAGAAGGCCUUUGGGUCGUAAAGCUCUUUUCUUGGGGAAGAUAGUGACGGUACCCAAGGAAUAAGCACCGGCUAACUCCGUGCCAGCAGCCGCGGUAAUACGGAGGGUGCAAGCGUUGUUCGGAUUUACUGGGCGUAAAGGGCACGUAGGCGGCACAGCAAGUUAAGGGUGAAAUCCCGGGGCUCAACUCCGGAACUGCUCUUAAAACUGCUGAGCUAGAGAUCGUCAGAGGCGGGUGGAAUUCCAGGUGUAGAGGUGAAAUUCGUAGAUAUCUGGAGGAACACCGGUGGCGAAGGCGGCCCGCUGGGGCUAUUCUGACGCUAAGGUGCGAAAGCGUGGGGAGCAAACGGGAUUAGAUACCCUCGUAGUC